CCUAGAUGGGAGAAUGGGGCCCACAGGGGACUGGAGGGCAUGGCAAGGGGCCCCAGGGGAUGACGUGUGUCUGGAGAAGAUGGUGGGGAAUGAGGGAGGGUGUGAAAUGAAGGUGUGGUGGGAGUGUGGGUAGGGAUUUGGGGCUGUGUACACAUGAGCAGGGCUGAAGUGGGAGGACAUCGGAGUAGUGACAUGAGGAGUGUUUUGCCAAACUUGUAACUGGAGUUACCCCAAAAGUGGGGGCAAGGGAGUUCUCCACACUAUCCUCAGGUGGGACCAGUUGGGAUACCAAAGAAAGAAGUGCUAAAUGCAUGAGGCAGAAGAGGCCUGGACCUUGGUGCACACAGACCCAGGAACAGAUGAGCAGGGACGUUUGCAUCCACACCUGGCCGUGCACCUACUACCUGGAGCCCAAGAGGCGAUGGGUUACUGGACAACUGUCCUUAACGUCGCUGUCGCUCAGGUUCAUGACUGACAGCACUGGAGAGAUUCUGGUCAGCUUCCCCCUCUCCAGCAUAGUUGAGAUCAAGAAGGAGUCUUCACAUUUUAUCUUCAGCUCCAUCACUAUCCUGGAGAAGGGCCAUGCCAAGCACUGGUUCAGCUCCCUGCGGCCAAGUCGAAAUGUGGUCUUCAGCAUCAUCGAGCAUUUCUGGAGGGAGCUGCUGCUGUCUCAGCCUGGAGCCAUGGCAGACACGUCUGUCCCAAGGACCCGGGGCGAGGAGCUGACGGGACUCAUGG
RNAcentral lists this small RNA (738 nucleotides) under Pongo abelii (Sumatran orangutan). Its description in RNAcentral is "processed transcript". The record is from RNAcentral. Lineage: Eukaryota; Metazoa; Chordata; Mammalia; Primates; Hominidae.